This 268-nucleotide small RNA is filed under the name Arabidopsis thaliana (thale cress). Its description in RNAcentral is "ATSL198430". Lineage: Eukaryota; Viridiplantae; Streptophyta; Magnoliopsida; Brassicales; Brassicaceae. The record is from RNAcentral.
CAUAUGGAAUUCAGCUACAUCAUCAAAGCUAUGAGAAGCAAUAAGAAGCUUUGUUAGUGUUUUGGAGUCAAAUAUGACUAGAUGUCAUGUGGAUGAUUGAGUAUAAGAACUAGAACCGCAACCGCUUCCCAAAAGCUGAAGUAGUGUUUCCUUGUUAGAAGAUACAAAGCCAAAGACUCAUUCGGACUUCGGCUACACCAUCAAAGCUUUGAGAAGCAAUAAGAAGCUUGGUUAGUAUUUUGGAGUCAAAUAAGACAAGAUGUUAUUU